This 1023-nucleotide ribosomal RNA is filed under the name Triticum aestivum (bread wheat). RNAcentral describes it as "partial small subunit ribosomal RNA". The record is from RNAcentral. Lineage: Eukaryota; Viridiplantae; Streptophyta; Magnoliopsida; Poales; Poaceae.
AUGCACCGCGUCAUCGCUGAGAACCUCUCCAUAGUCGCCGACGUGGAUUGUGAGCAACUGAGUUGCAGGCUUACACCGAAGGUCGCGGGAGUAACGAUCUCCACACUUGAAGCAGAGGUCGUUGGCACGCCGGUGCUCGCGCAGUUGACGCUCUCGCGCCAGAUCGUCGUUGGGCACGCCCACGGCGCCAGGCCGCGGCGCCGUCGGGGCCCGCGGAGGAAGCUGGAGGGGUGGUGGUGGUGGUGGUGGCCAGCCCACCGGAAUAAUGCGCGAUCGAGCAUGUUGUGUGCCCACUUCCUCUUCGACGAUCCGGGCCAACACCGCCGCGCGUGUGAGACUGGACGGCUCCUGGAGGCGGACUGCCGCCCGCAGAUCGUCGCGCAAACCCAGCAGGAACUGCGUGACGAACAGCUUGGGAUUGAGCGACGCGUCAAGGGCGAGCAGGUGGUACAUGUGCGUCUCGAACGCCGUUCUGUACUCGGCGACGGUGCCGGUCUGACGAAGCUGGAGCAGCUGGUGCAUCUCUGUCUCGAACUCGUCUGGCACGAAUUCGCUGAUGAUGGCCGCGGUGAACUCCUCCCAGUUCGGCACACGGUGUGUCUGCCUGUAUGCCUGGUACCAGCGUGCCGCAUGGCCAUCGAUGUAGAGAGAGGCCGUGGUCACCCAACUGUGCGGCGGAACUCGGUACAGCUCGAAGUAGGUGAUGCAUCGGUCGAUCCAGAGGUUGGGCGAGUCACCGUCGAAGUGAGGGAAAUCAUGCUUGGCCGGCUUGACCAUGUACUCGUCGCGCGGUCCGUGGUGCGCGUCGCGGCCCACCAUGAACGCCGCCGGCUGCCCUGCGCCCGUGAACUGGGGAGGAUGCCGCAACGGCAGCAGGGGCGGCCCGUUGUUGGCGAGGCGCACAGCAGGGCCCUGAGGAAGAGGCCCGCGCGCAUGCUCCAUCGCCGUGACCGCGGAGGCCUGCGUGUCGCCGUCGUGGUGGUCGGCGUCCCUCGGUCGGUGAGGCGCAGUGGCCGCAGGUGA